AGAGUUUGAUCAUGGCUCAGAACAAACGCUGGCGGCAUGCCUAACACAUGCAAGUCGAACGAGACCUUCGGGUCUAGUGGCGCACGGGUGCGUAACGCGUGGGAAUCUGCCCUUGGGUUCGGAAUAACAGUUAGAAAUGACUGCUAAUACCGGAUAAUGUCUUCGGACCAAAGAUUUAUCGCCCAGGGAUGAGCCCGCGUAGGAUUAGCUAGUUGGUGAGGUAAAGGCUCACCAAGGCGACGAUCCUUAGCUGGUCUGAGAGGAUGAUCAGCCACACUGGGACUGAGACACGGCCCAGACUCCUACGGGAGGCAGCAGUGGGGAAUAUUGGACAAUGGGCGAAAGCCUGAUCCAGCAAUGCCGCGUGAGUGAUGAAGGCCUUAGGGUUGUAAAGCUCUUCUACCCGGGAUGAUAAUGACAGUACCGGGAGAAUAAGCCCCGGCUAACUCCGUG
Molecule: ribosomal RNA, 453 nt
Filed under: uncultured bacterium
Lineage: Bacteria
Description: bacterial SSU rRNA
Rfam family: Bacterial small subunit ribosomal RNA
Source: RNAcentral